AGCGAACGCUGGCGGCAGGCUUAACACAUGCAAGUCGAGCGGGCAUCCUUGUGGUGUCAGCGGCAGACGGGUGAGUAACGCGUGGGAACGUGCCCUUCGGUUCGGAAUAACUCAGGGAAACUUGAGCUAAUACCGGAUACGUGCGAGAGCAGAAAGGUUUAUCUGCCGAAGGAUCGGCCAGCGUCUGAUUAGCUAGUUGGUGAGGUUAUGGCUCACCAAGGCGACGAUCAGUAGCUGGUCUGAGAGGAUGAUCAGCCACACUGGGACUGAGACACGGCCCAGACUCCUACGGGAGGCAGCAGUGGGGAAUAUUGGACAAUGGGGGCAACCCUGAUCCAGCCAUGCCGCGUGAGUGAUGACGGCCUUAGGGUUGUAAAGCUCUUUUCUCCGGGACGAUAAUGACGGUACCGGAGGAAUAAGCCCCGGCUAACUUCGUG
This 437-nucleotide ribosomal RNA is filed under the name uncultured bacterium. Its description in RNAcentral is "partial 16S ribosomal RNA". It matches the Rfam family "Bacterial small subunit ribosomal RNA", at positions 29 to 507 of the family's 1533-position model. The record is from RNAcentral.